Molecule: ribosomal RNA, 435 nt
Filed under: Vibrio alginolyticus
Lineage: Bacteria; Pseudomonadati; Pseudomonadota; Gammaproteobacteria; Vibrionales; Vibrionaceae
Description: bacterial SSU rRNA
Rfam family: Bacterial small subunit ribosomal RNA
Source: RNAcentral
GCUAGUUGGUGAGGUAAGGGCUCACCAAGGCGACGAUCCCUAGCUGGUCUGAGAGGAUGAUCAGCCACACUGGAACUGAGACACGGUCCAGACUCCUACGGGAGGCAGCAGUGGGGAAUAUUGCACAAUGGGCGCAAGCCUGAUGCAGCCAUGCCGCGUGUGUGAAGAAGGCCUUCGGGUUGUAAAGCACUUUCAGUCGUGAGGAAGGUAGUGUCGUUAAUAGCGGCAUUACUUGACGUUAGCGACAGAAGAAGCACCGGCUAACUCCGUGCCAGCAGCCGCGGUAAUACGGAGGGUGCGAGCGUUAAUCGGAAUUACUGGGCGUAAAGCGCAUGCAGGUGGUUUGUUAAGUCAGAUGUGAAAGCCCGGGGCUCAACCUCGGAAUAGCAUUUGAAACUGGCAGACUAGAGUACUGUAGAGGGGGGUAGAAUUUCA